Long non-coding RNA from Girardinichthys multiradiatus, 439 nucleotides. RefSeq lists it as uncharacterized. The record is from RefSeq and is a predicted model, not a curated record. NCBI's taxonomy places the organism in Eukaryota, Metazoa, Chordata, Actinopteri, Cyprinodontiformes, Goodeidae. The transcript is spliced from 2 exons.
ACAGUGGUAACAAGCUCAGCCACCUCUAGACUAAGCUUUGGUUUUUGUGCUCCUUUGCAGGCAGAGAACCUGACUCUAGGAUUUACUGCCUCAGAAGACUCUGUGGCUAAAAACUACCUACAGACUUUGCUUCCUGAAUUAUUGUCUUUGACUGGAUUUCACUCUGGCUGGCAGCCAUCCUGAUUCCUUCGUUUCUCUGCAUCUGGACACCAAGCGUAUGCUGUCCACCCUCCUACGUAAGCCAUUACAACUUGGAUUACCUCACGGUUUUUGCUCACCUCAGAACAACACCAGGAGAAAACAUCAAGACGAACACUACUUAUAUGGACUUAAACCCUGAAUCCCUCAACCCCUGGCGACCUGACUACAUCAAACUAUUGGAGAUUUACUCGUCGUUUUUCCUGAUUAUUAGUCACUCAAUAAACAUACUUUUUACUGA